UACGGAGGGUGCAAGCGUUGCUCGGAAUCAUUGGGCGUAAAGCGUACGCAGGCUGUUCGUUAAGUCGGGUGUGAAAGCCCGGGGCUCAACCCCGGAACUGCGCCCGAAACUGGCGAGCUUGAGUGCGGGAGAGGAAAGCGGAAUUCCUGGUGUAGAGGUGAAAUUCGUAGAUAUCAGGAGGAACACCGGUGGCGAAAGCGGCUUUCUGGCCCGACACUGACGCUCAUGUACGAAAGCGUGGGGAGCAAACAGG
This 253-nucleotide ribosomal RNA is filed under the name uncultured bacterium. RNAcentral describes it as "partial 16S ribosomal RNA". It matches the Rfam family "Bacterial small subunit ribosomal RNA", at positions 524 to 776 of the family's 1533-position model. The record is from RNAcentral.